GACAAGAGAUGAAAAGAAUCUGCCCACUCCAUCAAGCAAUGGGUACAACAACACAGGGCAUUCACGGGACCUCAUGGGACCACGGACCGCACCUGCAGAAACUGGACAACAGGGAGAAGCAGAGGAGAUACCUAUCAUAGACUUCUCCCAGCUGACGCUUGACAUACCACCUACGCCACCUCCAGUGGUAGAAACAACCAGCUGGUAUGAUUGAGUGGAAUCAGCCAACAGUAACACGGAAGCAGCAAUGUGAGAGUCAGUAGUGCAUGACCUUAAAGGGUAAUAAUAGGAAGCUUCCGUUUAACACACAGGCCUAAGAUUACGUAGGUCUACAGCCCCAGUGGGAACUUCCCCUUUAAAAAGAUAUAUAAAGAGAACAGAGAUCAUAAGACAGCAUGAUCCUCACUAACAUAUGAAACAGACUUCAUAUGGAGAAUCAUCAUAGGUAAAUUUACUAUUGCACAAUAUUUUGGGAACCGGAUAUUUUUGCUUAAGUACUUAUUGGGUCAUACUCUGAAGAAGCUGGUUGAAUCUUGUGAACCCGACUGAGUCUCCGAAAAACAGAAGUCUAAACCACCUCUUGAUCACAUAGACAAAGCGGGCGUUCGCAUUUUUGACACCAGAAACCAGAGGUGACUAGCAAUUCAAGGAAAAACAGCCAAGUACCAGUUACCAUAUAUUGCGUCUAUGCACAGAGUUGGAAGUGAAUAGUAUUAGGAUAUACACUUUUUGUUGGACUAGAACAAUAUUUUGAGAGCUGGAUAUUUUUGCUUAAGUACUUAUUGGGUCAUACUCUGAAGAAGCUGGUUGAAUCUUGUGAACCCGACUGAGUCUCCGAAAAACAGAGGUCUAAAACACCUCUUGAUCACAUAGACAAAGCGGGCGUUCGCAUUUUUGACACCAGAAACCAGAGGUGAUUAGCAAUUCAAGGAAAAACAGCCAAGUACCAGUUACAAUAUAUUGAGUCCAUACACAGAGUUGGAAGUGUAUAGAGAUACUGGAAUUCGGAAUCUAGCGUCAUAGCUGCAAGAAUACCGAUUACGGUAAAGUGACCAAGGGGCUGAGCAUUUAAGGCAAGGUUUGAUGCAUCAGAAAUACGUAGGUGGACUGGACAUUGACAUAUGGACACCUUGGGAGUGUGUCGAAGAGCCACAGCAUGUAAUGUGGCCAAAGCUCUCCUGCGAGACAUCAUUCCAAUGUAGGGGGAUGUCGGUAGACAUUACGUAAACAAGAUUGUUCAGUCCGUAUCAGAAGCAGGUUGACUUGAGACCGCACUGUGCCUGCCUCCCACAGUCAGGGGGUGCUGUACAACACGCCAUGUAUAUAGUCCCGCUAUUGCUUUUUAAUGCUGCUCUUUAAUCAUUUGUUGUUCUUAUCUCUUACUUUUUUGUUGUUAGUAUUUUCUUAAAACUGCAUUGUUGGUUAAGGGCUUGUAAGUAAGCCUUUCAUGUGACAAAUAAAAUUGGAUUUGAUUUGAUAACCAAACGCUAAACAACAAAAAGUACUCCCUUUGGCACUGAUGAGCAUGAGAGGUAGGUCUCACACUGACUGGUCUCUCCCCACACGAGGUACUAACUGGACUCCCCAUGUGAAUGACUAACAGUCCUUUCCCCCAAAAUAGGUUAACCCUUCAAGGAAUGGAGGACCCGGUGGCUUAUUGUGUAUCUCUUAACAGUGUUCUUAAUACUCUCUUCACACAAGUGAAGGCUUCUCUGCCGAACCUUGCAGGUGUUGCUCACCGCAACGUGAAACCAGAACAUUUCAUUGUGGUCAAAGAUCUUCAAAGAAAAAGUUGGAAAGAACCCAGGUGAAAGGGAGCAUACCAGGUGCUCCUGACCAAAUCCUCGGCUGUCAAGGUAGCAGAACGAGAUACGUGGACACAUACAUCCCACUGCAGGAAGUUGCGAGAACCAGGAAAUCAGAAUGGUGAGGAGGAUCGGUGAAUGCGAAAGGACCUGUUUCUGGAUUGGUCUCACAUGAUAGUGGAGACCUUCAUCUGCCUCCUGCUGGUCAGUAAUGACCUAGAAGGAUCCAGGAACCGUCCCCAGCCAACGGGACCACCGCAGGCCCGGAGUAGAGGCACAGAAGAAGCUGGUAAGGUUGUGAGAGGAAAACAAGACUUCAAAGACACUAUGAACUCAUUCCUUUCCACAGCACAGAUGGUGGCGAAUGGACUCUCCCCAAGCACUUCCUGUUGGGUCUGUGGGCUAGGCUCAUAGGGGGUAGGUGAUGGGCUCCCUUUACUGGGUGUCCCAGCCGGUGUAAAUUAGACUUUUCCAUGCUUCCAGCACUGAAGUUUACAAUUCCCCUCCUUGACGACCGAACCUUAUUUUGCUUUUUCUAACCAAACUUGGAUAAGUAGUUAUAGAAGACCUUGUGAAAAUAAAAUCUGUCCCACACCCAUCCCAAUAGAAUGCCGGUGUAUACAGGGUAAUGGGUAUGUCUACCUAGGUGAAAAUGUGUGCAAUUGUACAAUGGACUGAUGGAGAAUCAAAUUGAUCACUGACGGUUUAUUAUUUGCAGAUGGGCAGACUGUGUAACAGUGUUCUUCUCAGUGCUUCAUAUAACCUUGGAAACAAGUAAAUCAGACCCUAAUGGGACCUAUUGGUUAUGUCGGAACAGCGCAUAUUAUGUCCUACCAGAUCAUUUGGGGGUAGUGUGUACUAUUGGAUUCGUUGUUCCUGCUUUGAGAGCAGUGCCAGAUGACGUAUAAUUCAUUUCCCGGGAUAUUGUCCCCCUGCAGCAGUGCUCACUGGCAGGGAUUACUCAUAUUCAAAUGGCCCUGUCACAAUUUACUUUUGUAAUGCUCCCUAAUUAUGGAGUGGCUAAUGCUAUGUCAAAAGCCCUUUUAAGGCCCUCAGUACUGAAAUGGUAGCACUUCAAAAAUUGGCCUUACAAAAUCGUUAAGCUCUAGACUACCUAUGAGGAAGUCAGGGAGGAAUGUGUGCAGUCAUGGGAGAUGAGUGUUGCACCUUUGUUCCUGACUCGUCUAUGAAUGUCACCUACUUAGCAGAUUACAUAGCAGAGACUGCUUGAGGCACUGUGCUCUUCUUUUGUCUCACAGGUCUAAGCAACUAUUAUGUCCACUGUUAGUUUGAUUUGGCUAAAAUAAAUGCCAUCUGCUGAUGAGAAUGAUGAAGAUAAUGAGGACUACAAGGAACUCACUGAAGGCCAUGAAGAGCAUGACCAUGUUCCCCCCCCCCUGCUUAUGGUGAUAGAAUUGACAUAAAUGAAAUUGUGUAAUGAAGCAUGUGUAUAACUGUAUGAAGCGAAGGUCUUAAGUUAAACCAUUCUACUGCAAUGGUUUUACAAGUGUAAGGGCUAUGGAAUAAGCAUCAGUUACUAGUCAGAUUGUACAACCCAGAAUGAAGGGUUUGAACGGAUACAGUGUCUGGUUUUAUGUGUUGAUUUCAACCUACUUUUAAUAGAAGUAUUUUGAUAGAAGGCCCUUUGAUAGUUUUAGCCAUAAUCUAAUGCUUACCUUAAAAUGUAACAAUAGUUAUCACAGAGUGAUAAAAGGAGUGUGAUGUAAACGUUCUCUGUGUGUAUCAGAUCGUAUGUUUAGUAAAAUGCUGCUUUGUGAUAA
Molecule: long non-coding RNA, 3586 nt
Organism: Oncorhynchus keta (chum salmon)
Lineage: Eukaryota; Metazoa; Chordata; Actinopteri; Salmoniformes; Salmonidae
Exons: 2
Source: RefSeq, a predicted model, not a curated record